CAAAACGCAAAGAAAGUUGGUUGCUAUACAAUACUCCUGGUAAGGAACUCGAAGAAAGAAAGCGAUUUGGCAUCGCUGCAGCAGCUAGAGAGAUCUUAAAAGAGAUGCUUAGCUUACCUCUUUACAUGUAUCAAAAACAAGAACACCCAAUAUUCCAAGCCUGGUUCACAUCCAAGAGAUCGAAGAGGUCAAUGCUUCGGUCAAUGCAGACGAGAGAGUUGAGGUCAACAGCCAAGUCUCCAUGAUUUGCUUAUUAUUUGGAUCCUCAAAAACAAAGAGCAAUACCAUGAGAAUAUUCGAAAGCAAUAAUUGAAGGAGCUUAAGCCAAGAUGCCAUUCAUAUAUAUUACGAUAUUAGGUAAAAAGAUUCCCUGGAACGGUGGACGAGAUUGCGUUUGAAGGAAAAGAAGCGGUAUUAUUUUGACUCACAAUCUUGGAACAAGUACAAAUAAGUCCUUCUCCUUUAUAGUCUGGCUAAUCUGCCCCCAAGCUUUGUCUUGCCUUGGCCUUUUGCCCUCUCUCACACUGCUGGUAUAAAUCAUGCUCGUCUUCUGUUUUCGCAGAUUCAAAACCCCAGCACUUAUAUUUGGAAUACCAUGAUUAGAGGCUACUCUGAAGCCAAAAUGGGCCAUAGUGGCUUCUUGUUUUUCUGCCAAAUGCUUCAGAAUGGCGCUGAAAUGGACUGUAGGAGCUUUGUUCUUGCGCUCAAAGCGUGCGAGCAGUUUUUGAGAGUUUUAGGAGGGAAAUCAGUUCAUUGUGGUAUUCGAAAGAUGGGUUUUGUUUAUGCUAUGUUGUUUCAAGAUGGGUUGGCUCCUUUUUAUGAUCUGCGUGGUUGUAUGGGUUUUGCUUGACACUUGUUUGAUGGAAUUCCUGCAAGAGAUGGAGUUUCUGUCUAUGACUGAUGGGUAUUCUAAGCGUAACUGUUGGGAUGAGACUGGAAGCUUUUUGACUCGAUGUCAGUGGAGGGCAAUGUAGAGCCAGAAGAGGUCACUAUGAUAGCCGCUCGUUCAGCUUGCUCGCAGAAGGGGGGUUUGAGAUUAGGGAAGAGUUUUCACGAAUAUGUAAAACUAGAAAUGCAAGUCACCAUGAAUGUGAAAUGUGGCUGCUUGGAUUCUGCAAGAGGGAUCUUUGAUACCAUGGGAGUUAGAGAUGUGUUCUCUUGGACGAGCAUGGUUAAUGGGUAUGCUAAAAGCGGUGAGCUAGAGCUGGCAAGGAUGUCGUUUAAUGAGAUGCCGGAGAGGAAUGUGGUUUCCUGGAGUGCCAUGAUUGCUGGGUAACCACCCAUAGGAAGCUUUAGAAUGGUUUGUAACAUGCUGGAGCCUGUGUUUGUUCCAAUGGUGAACAUUAGUUCGUGUGCUCUCUGCUUGUGUUCAAUUGGAUUGCUUGGAAUUUGGUCAGUGAAUCCAUUGAAACUGCAUCAUUGUUACAAAACACAACGAACCAGUGUGAUCAUAGCGAACGCGUUCAUUGACAUGUAUGCUAAAUGUGGGGUCAUACAUGAAGCUGAAAAAAGGGAGUGUCAGCGUUUGGAGUCUCUUCUUGCUGAAGUAGAGAAGGGUGUGGUAGUUUGAGAAGAAUGAGAUUUUUAUAGUUAAAUCAGCUUGUGCUCUCAUCAAUGAUACUCGGCAUUCAGUAUCUGAGAAUUUUGGGACUUUAUUCUGGCAAGGUAUAUUUUCUUCUAAAAUUGAGAUGUUUCUGUGGUUUUUGUUAAA
This is a long non-coding RNA of Populus trichocarpa (black cottonwood), 1711 nucleotides long. RefSeq lists it as uncharacterized. Lineage: Eukaryota; Viridiplantae; Streptophyta; Magnoliopsida; Malpighiales; Salicaceae. The transcript is spliced from 2 exons. The record is from RefSeq and is a predicted model, not a curated record.